AAGUCGAGCGAACGGACGAGAAGCUUGCUUCUCUGAUGUUAGCGGCGGACGGGUGAGUAACACGUGGAUAACCUACCUAUAAGACUGGGAUAACUUCGGGAAACCGGAGCUAAUACCGGAUAAUAUUUUGAACCGCAUGGUUCAAAAGUGAAAGACGGUCUUGCUGUCACUUAUAGAUGGAUCCGCGCUGCAUUAGCUAGUUGGUAAGGUAACGGCUUACCAAGGCAACGAUGCAUAGCCGACCUGAGAGGGUGAUCGGCCACACUGGAACUGAGACACGGUCCAGACUCCUACGGGAGGCAGCAGUAGGGAAUCUUCCGCAAUGGGCGAAAGCCUGACGGAGCAACGCCGCGUGAGUGAUGAAGGUCUUCGGAUCGUAAAACUCUGUUAUUAGGGAAGAACAUAUGUGUAAGUAACUGUGCACAUCUUGACGGUACCUAAUCAGAAAGCCACGGCUAACUACGUGCCAGCAGCCGCGGUAAUACGUAGGUGGCAAGCGUUAUCCGGAAUUAUUGGGCGUAAAGCGCGCGUAGGCGGUUUUUUAAGUCUGAUGUGAAAGCCCACGGCUCAACCGUGGAGGGUCAUUGGAAACUGGAAAACUUGAGUGCAGAAGAGGAAAGUGGAAUUCCAUGUGUAGCGGUGAAGUGCGCAGAGAUAUGGAGGAACACCAGUGGCGAAGGCGACUUUCUGGUCUGUAACUGACGCUGAUGUGCGAAAGCGUGGGGAUCAAACAGGAUU
RNAcentral lists this ribosomal RNA (738 nucleotides) under uncultured Staphylococcus sp. RNAcentral's name for it is "bacterial SSU rRNA". It matches the Rfam family "Bacterial small subunit ribosomal RNA", at positions 59 to 779 of the family's 1533-position model. Lineage: Bacteria; Bacillati; Bacillota; Bacilli; Caryophanales; Staphylococcaceae. The record is from RNAcentral.